GACGAACGCUGGCGGCGUGCCUAAUACAUGCAAGUAGAACGCCGAAGGAGGAGCUUGCUUCUCUGGAUGAGUUGCGAACGGGUGAGUAACGCGUAGGUAACCUGCCUGGUAGCGGGGGAUAACUAUUGGAAACGAUAGCUAAUACCGCAUAAUAGCAGUUGUUGCAUGACAACUGUUUGAAAGGUGCAAUUGCACCACUACCAGAUGGACCUGCGUUGUAUUAGCUAGUUGGUGGGGUAACGGCUCACCAAGGCGACGAUACAUAGCCGACCUGAGAGGGUGAUCGGCCACACUGGGACUGAGACACGGCCCAGACUCCUACGGGAGGCAGCAGUAGGGAAUCUUCGGCAAUGGACGGAAGUCUGACCGAGCAACGCCGCGUGAGUGAAGAAGGUUUUCGGAUCGUAAAGCUCUGUUGUAAGAGAAGAACGAGUGUGAGAGUGGAAAGUUCACACUGUGACGGUAUCUUACCAGAAAGAGACGGCUAACUACGUG
This 495-nucleotide ribosomal RNA is filed under the name uncultured bacterium. RNAcentral's name for it is "partial 16S ribosomal RNA". It matches the Rfam family "Bacterial small subunit ribosomal RNA", at positions 28 to 507 of the family's 1533-position model. The record is from RNAcentral.